GCACCUUAGAGACUAACAAAUUUAUUUGAGCAUAAGCUUUUGUGGGCUACAGCCCACUUCAUCAGAUGCAUGCAGUGGAAAAUACAGUAGGAGGAUUUUAUAUACACAGAGAACACGAAAUAAUGGGCGUUACCAUGCACACUAAAACGAGUGUGAUCAGGUAAGGUGACCUAUUACCAGCAGGAGAGAAAAAAAACUUUUU
Chelonia mydas (Green sea turtle) is the source of this 202-nucleotide long non-coding RNA. RefSeq lists it as uncharacterized. The transcript has 3 exons. The record is from RefSeq and is a predicted model, not a curated record. Lineage: Eukaryota; Metazoa; Chordata; Testudines; Cheloniidae.